Molecule: ribosomal RNA, 279 nt
Filed under: uncultured bacterium
Lineage: Bacteria
Description: partial 16S ribosomal RNA
Rfam family: Bacterial small subunit ribosomal RNA
Source: RNAcentral
UGCCAGCCGCCGCGGUAAUACGGAGGGUGCAAGCGUUGUCCGGAAUCACUGGGUGUAAAGGGUGUGUAGGCGGGAUUGUAAGUCAGAGGUGAAAUCCUACAGCUCAACUGUAGAACUGCCUUUGAUACUGCAAUUCUUGAGUUUCGGAGAGGUCAUUAGAAUUCGUGGUGUAGCGGCGAAAUGCGUAGAUAUCACGAGGAAUACCAGAGGCGUAGGCGGAUGACUGGACGAAUACUGACGCUGAGGCACGAAAGCGUGGGGAGCAAACAGGAUUAGAUA